This 335-nucleotide ribosomal RNA is filed under the name uncultured soil bacterium. Its description in RNAcentral is "bacterial SSU rRNA". It matches the Rfam family "Bacterial small subunit ribosomal RNA", at positions 26 to 373 of the family's 1533-position model. The record is from RNAcentral.
AGAUUGAACGCUGGCGGCAUGCCUAACACAUGCAAGUCGAACGGGAGUAGCAAUACUCUAGUGGCGGACGGGUGAGGAAUACGUAGGAAUUUGCCCUUAAGUGGGGGAUAACCCGGGGAAACCCGGAUUAAUACCGCAUGACCUCGAAAGAGCAAAGUGGGGGAUCGCAAGACCUCACGCUUUUGGAGAAGCCUACGUCGGAUUAGCUAGUUGGUGAGGUAAUGGCUCACCAAGGCGACGAUCCGUAACUGGUCUGAGAGGAUGAUCAGUCACACCGGAACUGAGACACGGUCCGGACUCCGUACGGGAGCAGCAGUGGGGAAUAUUGGACAAGU